Oncorhynchus tshawytscha (Chinook salmon) is the source of this 1173-nucleotide long non-coding RNA. The record is from Ensembl. NCBI's taxonomy places the organism in Eukaryota, Metazoa, Chordata, Actinopteri, Salmoniformes, Salmonidae.
GGAACAUCUAAAAAGAUUAUGUACUCACCAUAUUUAUGAGAUCCAGCGCCACCUGGUCCAUAGCCACCAGGUCCAUAGCCACCAGGUCCAGCCCCAUAACCUCCAGGACCAGCUCCGCCAGGACCAAGACCAGCCCCAGGCCCAUAACCUCCAGGCCCAGCACCAUAGCCACCAGGUCCUGCCUCUGCUCCACCUGGUCUGGCUCCACCUGGUCUGACCCCAGCUCCUCCCGGCCCUGCUCUACCUGGUCCAUAGCCACCAGGUUCAGCCCCAUAACCUCCAGGACCAAGACCAGCCCCAGGCCCAUAACCUCCAGGCCCUGCGCCAUAGCCACCAGGUCCGGCCUCUGCUCCACCUGGUCUGACCCCAGCUCCUCCCGGCCCUGCUCCACCUGGUCCAUAACCUUUAUGUCCGGCACCAUAUCCACCUUGCCCGGCCCCAGCCCCACCUAGUCCGACCCCAGUUCCUCCUGGUCCAUAACCAACUGUUCCGCCACCAUAACCACCAAGCCCAUCUCCAGCUCCAACAGCUCUCCCAUAGCCUGAAACAGAGGGGACAGUGAAUUCACAGACACUAGGAUACAUUUUUAUUUUCACACAUGAUUUAAAUGUGAUGUGACAUUAUUAAAAAUGUAUGUGACAAUGUUUCUGCCAUACUAUUAGGUGGUUUUCCAGUGCCAGUUCCUGUACCAGUUCCAGCACCUGUGGGGUAUCUGCUACCAACUCCACCUGGUAUAUAUCCACCUGGUCCAGCUCCACCUUGACCUCCACCUAGACCGCCUCCUUGACCUCCACCCACUCCUCCUGGUCCGGCUCCUAUGGCACCCAGGCUGCCAGCUCCACCCAGACCUCCACCAACACCACCGGCUCCAGCACCUCCAGUCUUGUAUGGCUUGGAUCCAUAUCCUCCAGGCCCAGCCCCUGUCCCGUAGCCACUUGGCCCAGCACCAUAGCCACCUUGACCAGCUCCAGCCCCAUAACCACCUGGACCAGCACCAUAACCACCGGGUCUGGCCCCAUAACCACCGGGUCCAGUGCCAUAUCCUCCAGGACUGGCUCCGUAUCCGCCUGGUCCGGCACCAUAUCCUCCAGGACGUCGUCCUCCUGCUCCAAAUUGGCCAGCACCAUAUCCUAAGUGGAGGAGAGAGAAAUGACAUGGAUGAGCCUGAAGCAG